Molecule: ribosomal RNA, 292 nt
Filed under: uncultured bacterium
Lineage: Bacteria
Description: partial 16S ribosomal RNA
Rfam family: Bacterial small subunit ribosomal RNA
Source: RNAcentral
UUGUGCCUACGGGACGCAGCAGUGAGGAAUAUUGGUCAAUGGGCGCGAGCCUGAACCAGCCACGUCGCGUGAGGGAUGACGGUCCUACGGAUUGUAAACCUCUUUUGCCGGGGAGCAAGCGUGCGUUCGUGAACGCGCGUCGAGAGUACCCGGAGAAAAAGCAUCGGCUAACUCCGUGCCAGCAGCCGCGGUAAUACGGAGGAUGCGAGCGUUAUCCGGAUUUAUUGGGUUUAAAGGGUGCGUAGGCGGGAUGCCAAGUCAGCGGUAAAAAUGCGGUAAUCAACGCCGUCGA